RNAcentral lists this transfer RNA (72 nucleotides) under Olpidium bornovanus. It matches the Rfam family "tRNA". From Rfam's summary of the family: Transfer RNA (tRNA) molecules are approximately 80 nucleotides in length. Their secondary structure includes four short double-helical elements and three loops (D, anti-codon, and T loops). Lineage: Eukaryota; Fungi; Olpidiomycota; Olpidiomycetes; Olpidiales; Olpidiaceae. The record is from Rfam by way of RNAcentral.
AGCAACGUGGGACAGUGGCAGUCCGUUGGGCUCAUAACCCAAAUGUCCCUAGAUCGAAACUAGGCGUUGCUA